UGGGGAAUAUUGCACAAUGGGGGGAACCCUGAUGCAGCAACGCCGCGUGAAGGAAGACGGUUUUCGGAUUGUAAACUUCUAUCAAUAGGGACGAAGAAAGUGACGGUACCUAAAUAAGAAGCCCCGGCUAACUACGUGCCAGCAGCCGCGGUAAUACGUAGGGGGCAAGCGUUAUCCGGAAUUACUGGGUGUAAAGGGUGAGUAGGCGGCACGGCAAGUAAGAUGUGAAAGCCCACGGCUUAACUGUGGGAUUGCAUUUUAAACUGUUGAGCUAGAGUACAGGAGAGGAAAGCGGAAUUCCUAGUGUAGCGGUGAAAUGCGUAGAUAUUAGGAAGAACACCAGUGGCGAAGGCGGCUUUCUGGACUGGAAACUGACGCUGAGGCACGAAAGCGUGGGGAGCGAACA
RNAcentral lists this ribosomal RNA (406 nucleotides) under uncultured bacterium. Its description in RNAcentral is "bacterial SSU rRNA". It matches the Rfam family "Bacterial small subunit ribosomal RNA", at positions 355 to 774 of the family's 1533-position model. The record is from RNAcentral.